CUUGGUCAUUUAGAGGAAGUAAAAGUCGUAACAAGGUCUCCGUUGGUGAACCAGCGGAGGGAUCAUUACAGAGUUGCAAAACUCCCAACCCUUUGUGAACGAACCUACCAGUUGCCUCGGCGGCGAGCCUUUCAGGCGGACCGCCGAAGGAAUAUAAACUCUUUGCAUUAUAGUAUCUCUGAUUACUUAUUCAAUAAGUUAAAACUUUCAACAACGGAUCUCUUGGUUCUGGCAUCGAUGAAGAACGCAGCGAAAUGCGAUAAGUAAUGUGAAUUGCAGAAUUCAGUGAAUCAUCGAAUCUUUGAACGCACAUUGCGCCCGCUAGUAUUCUGGCGGGCAUGCCUGUUCGAGCGUCAUUUCAACCAUCAAGCCCUAGGCUUGUGUUGGAGCCCUGCGGCUGCCGCAGCCUCCUAAAAACAGUGGCGGGCUCGCUAUCACACCGAGUGCAGUAGUUUACUCUUCGCUCAUGGCGUGUGGCGGGUGCUGGCCGUGAAACCCCCUACUUCUUAAGGUUGACCUCGGAUCAGGUAGGAAUACCCGCUGAACUUAAGCAUAUCAAUAAGCGGAGGA
RNAcentral lists this ribosomal RNA (570 nucleotides) under uncultured Ascomycota. RNAcentral describes it as "eukaryotic LSU rRNA". The stretch from base 203 to 356 matches the Rfam family "5.8S ribosomal RNA". The record is from RNAcentral. Lineage: Eukaryota; Fungi; Ascomycota.